CUUAGCUCAGCUGGUAGAGCAGCUGAUUUGUAAUCAGCAGGUCGGGGGUUCAAGUCCGUCCACC
RNAcentral lists this transfer RNA (64 nucleotides) under Parascardovia denticolens. It matches the Rfam family "tRNA", at positions 8 to 63 of the family's 71-position model. From Rfam's summary of the family: Transfer RNA (tRNA) molecules are approximately 80 nucleotides in length. Their secondary structure includes four short double-helical elements and three loops (D, anti-codon, and T loops). Further hydrogen bonds mediate the characteristic L-shaped molecular structure. tRNAs have two regions of fundamental functional importance: the anti-codon, which is responsible for specific mRNA codon recognition, and the 3' end, to which the tRNAs corresponding amino acid is attached (by aminoacyl-tRNA synthetases). tRNAs cope with the degeneracy of the genetic code in two manners: having more than one tRNA (with a specific anti-codon) for a particular amino acid; and 'wobble' base-pairing, i.e. permitting non-standard base-pairing at the 3rd anti-codon position. Lineage: Bacteria; Bacillati; Actinomycetota; Actinomycetes; Bifidobacteriales; Bifidobacteriaceae. The record is from RNAcentral.